CUGCCAGCCCGGCGCCCGGCUGCUGCAGCCUCGGCACGAAGGUGCCCCCCGCUCUAGCGUCCCCAGCCCUGGGGGCCACCCGGUUUGUACUAUGCUGGAAAGAAUAUUUUGAGGAUGGGGAAAAGCAGCUAAGGAAACAGACUAAAUUAUUACAAGAGGGAAGAAUGAAUGGAAUCUGCAUUCAGAAAUACUCUGGAAGGCACUGGAAAGGAGUUCACGCCUGAUUAUACAUGUAUUAUUCAGGCUGUGAAGAAAGGUAUGCAGAAGGAACGGAGAAUGYCCUGAGAUAAACCAGGCUCCAGAAAACAAUGCGGGAGGC
RNAcentral lists this long non-coding RNA (319 nucleotides) under Dromaius novaehollandiae (emu). RNAcentral's name for it is "lncRNA (ENSDNVG00000015444.1)". Lineage: Eukaryota; Metazoa; Chordata; Aves; Casuariiformes; Dromaiidae. The record is from RNAcentral.